GUGCAGCAGUCGCGAAAACUUUACAAUGUGCGAAAGCACGAUAAGGGAACUCUGAGUGCCUCCUAAGGAGGCUGUUCAGGUGUCUAAAAGCACCUGAAGGAAGGGCUGGGUAAGACCGGUGCCAGCCGCCGCGGUAACACCGGCAGCCCAAGUGGUAGCCACGUUUAUUGGGUCUAAAGCGUCCGUAGCCGGCUGGGUAAGUUCCUUGGGAAAUUUGGCUGCUUAACAGUCAAGCUUUCAGGGAAUACUGCCCGGCUUGGGACCGGGAGAGGUCAGAGGUACUCCAGGGGUAGGGGUGAAAUCCAUUAAUCCUUGGGGGACCACCGGUAGCGAAGGCGUCUGACCAGACCGGGUCCGACGGUGAGGGACGAA
This 372-nucleotide ribosomal RNA is filed under the name uncultured microorganism. RNAcentral's name for it is "bacterial SSU rRNA". It matches the Rfam family "Archaeal small subunit ribosomal RNA", at positions 330 to 708 of the family's 1478-position model. The record is from RNAcentral.